UGGGCGAAAGCCUGACCGAGCGACGCCGCGUGCGGGAUGAAGGCCUUCGGGUUGUAAACCGCUGUCGUUGGGGAGGAAGUGCAGGGGGGUUCUCCCCUCUGUUUGACCUAUCCAAGGAGGAAGUACGGGCUAAGUUCGUGCCAGCAGCCGCGGUAAGACGAACCGUACGAACGUUAUUCGGAAUUACUGGGCUUAAAGGGUGCGUAGGCGGCGCGGUAAGUUGGGUGUGAAAGCCCUCAGCUCAACUGAGGAACUGCACUCAAAACUACCGUGCUCGAGGGAGACAGAGGUAAGCGGAACUCAAGGUGGAGCGGUGAAAUGCGUUGAUAUCUUGAGGAACACCGGUGGCGAAGGCGGCUUACUGGGUCUUUUCUGACGCUGAGGCACGAAAGCUAAGGUAGCAAACGGGAUUAGAUACCCCGGUAGUCUUAGCUGUAAACGAUGAGCACUUGUUUGAAGGGUCCUCCAUAGCCUUUCAGACGUAGCGAAAGUGUUAAGUGCUCCGCCUGGGGA
RNAcentral lists this ribosomal RNA (513 nucleotides) under uncultured bacterium. RNAcentral's name for it is "bacterial SSU rRNA". It matches the Rfam family "Bacterial small subunit ribosomal RNA", at positions 372 to 879 of the family's 1533-position model. The record is from RNAcentral.